Molecule: RNA transcript, 1804 nt
Organism: Drosophila mojavensis
Lineage: Eukaryota; Metazoa; Arthropoda; Insecta; Diptera; Drosophilidae
Gene name: meiosis-specific nuclear structural protein 1
Exons: 3
Source: RefSeq, a predicted model, not a curated record
AAUGAAUACAGGAAUCUAGGCUAGAUAUACACACUUCUUUUUUUUUUCUUUUUGUUAUAUACUUUUAUUGUUUCAGUUGGUUCUAGUUUCAUGUAGUUUAUAGCUUUUAUUUAAUUUGUUUAUAUGUCCUUUUGCUACCAUGGCAACGAUGAGUGGAAUAUGGGCGGAUCCAAGGGAUGCACAACCCGCGGUUUUCGCCACAAAGGCGCACAAAAGAUUUGUGCCCAUUGACGAAGACAAGCUCUUUAGAACCGAGAAACAUUUCUGCAAGACCUUGAUUGAAGCCGAUCAAAUAAGAAAAGUGCAAGCUAUGGAAAAAAAACGACUUCCUAAGACAGCUAACGCCGACCUCUUGUUGACUGAUGAGUUAAAGCAACUCAAGCGUCAGGAAUUCCUCGAUCGCAAGCGCCGUCAACAGCUUCGCAAUGACUGCGAGGAGCUGCGGCAAUUGGCUGAGCAGCUGCGAUUGGCAGCGAUCACCAAGGAUCUCGAGGAGCAUAUGAGGGAAGUAAAUAGAAGUCGACAGCUCGCAAAUCAUGUGAAACUGCAGGGCUUACAGCGUGCCGAGGCUGAAAGGCAACAGCAGUUGGCCAUGGAGCAGGAGAAAGAGCUGCGCAAAAAGGAGCAACAGGAGGAACUGCGCAAGACACUUAUAUCCCAAGUAGAAGAGCGGCAGAAAUGUCGUCAGAGCGAAUACGUACAGACGCUGGCGGAGCGGGAGGUCCGCAUGGCCAUUCAGCAGCAAAUCGAAGAAGAAGACAGAGAGCUUCAGUUGGAGCUACAGCGCCUAAAGAUCAAGAAGCGAGAUGACAUCAUUCAGUUUAUAGAGGAAAAACGAGAAUAUGAGGCUCUGCAAAAGGUAAAGCUCAACGAGGAUAAUUUAAAAGCAUUUGAGAUACAACUGGAGGAUGCUAAGCACAGAGAGGAAAUGGAGAAGGCCAGACUUGAAGCGAUACGCAAGCAACAGGAGAUUAGUUCGCGAAUAGGUCAGCAGGUGCUUGAAGUGGAGAACAGAAAGCGGCAACGCGACAAUGUCUUGCUGGAUCUGCUGCAGGCAGAGUACAAAGCAAAGGGCGAUGAACGCUACCGGCAGCAGCUCCAGCAGGAACAGCUCGAACGCCAGCGUGCCCGUCAAGAACUAGAACGCUAUCGUGCUGAAGCCUAUGAGCGGCAUUUAGAAGCAGUGCGCAAGAAGAAGGAACAAGCUGUUGACAAAGAUUCUUUCAGCAUCGACAUCCACGCAUGCGGCGAUAACGAAAUGCUGAUACGCCAACAGCGGAAGGAGCAUGGUGCUCUGCUUCUGUCGAUGAUUGAGGAGAAUAAUCGCAAGCGUGCCGAAGCAGCUGCGGAAAAUAUUCAAUUUUUCAAUUUGAAGGCGAAGUCAGACGCCGAGCGCCAGUCGCGUAUUGAAGAGGAGCGCCUGAGAAUGUUGAGUUCUGUGCCGACUGAGGUUCUGAAAUAUUUACCAAAGCAAGUCCUUUCGGAAUCGGACCGAAAAUAUUUCAACGUGCAAAAACAAUAAGAGUUGAUGCAUCAGUGUAAUUGAAUCCGAAUAUUAGCCAUCACUCAUUGGCGCAAGCAAAAUCCUUAGUUGGCAUUUUAAAUGAAGACGCCCAACCCGCCCACAUUGCGUACGUGACGUGUCUCAUACAUUGCUGAGAGUUGCCAUAUUUCUUUGAAACAUUGAUAAAAUACUUAAGGCUGAUAUGCUAAUCACAGUUUCAUAAAAAACAUAUUUGGAACUCACAGUUUCAGAGCGCACUUUGGAGAUUUUUAUUAAAUAAAUUAAAAAUACACAUGAGAA